UUUAAUCCCGAGUUUGAGACUCCCGUCCGUGACCCCUGUGGCACCUUCCCCGGUUCCAGGUCAGUACCACGGAAGGGAAUCUCAAAUUCGAGGUGAGAGCCA
Microbacteriaceae bacterium BACL25 MAG-120322-bin65 is the source of this 102-nucleotide non-coding RNA. The record is from Rfam. Lineage: Bacteria; Bacillati; Actinomycetota; Actinomycetes; Micrococcales; Microbacteriaceae.